UACGUAGGGUGCGAGCGUUGCCCGGAUUUAUUGGGCGUAAAGGGCGCGUAGGCGGCUCGGCACGUCCGUUGUGAAAUCGCCCGGCUCAACUGGGCGGGGUCAGCGGAUACGGUCGAGCUUGAGCAAGCUAGGGGGUAAUGGAAUUCCCGGUGUAGUGGUGGAAUGCGUAGAUAUCGGGAGGAACACCAGUGGCGAAGGCGACACGCUGGGCCGUACCUGACACUAAAACGCGACAGCAUGGGGAGCGAACGGG
This 253-nucleotide ribosomal RNA is filed under the name uncultured bacterium. RNAcentral's name for it is "partial 16S ribosomal RNA". It matches the Rfam family "Bacterial small subunit ribosomal RNA", at positions 524 to 776 of the family's 1533-position model. The record is from RNAcentral.